Molecule: ribosomal RNA, 492 nt
Filed under: uncultured bacterium
Lineage: Bacteria
Description: partial 16S ribosomal RNA
Rfam family: Bacterial small subunit ribosomal RNA
Source: RNAcentral
AGUGAACGCUGGCGGUAGGCCUAACACAUGCAAGUCGAACGGCAGCACAGUAAGAGCUUGCUCUUACGGGUGGCGAGUGGCGGACGGGUGAGGAAUACAUCGGAAUCUACUUUUUCGUGGGGGAUAACGUAGGGAAACUUACGCUAAUACCGCAUACGCCCUACGGGUGAAAGCAGGGGAUCUUCGGACCUUGCGCGAUUGAAUGAGCCGAUGUCGGAUUAGCUAGUUGGCGGGGUAACGGCCCACCAAGGCGACGAUCCGUAGCUGGUCUGAGAGGAUGAUCAGCCACACUGGAACUGAGACACGGUCCAGACUCCUACGGGAGGCAGCAGUGGGGAAUAUUAGACAAUGGGCGCAAGCCUGAUCCAGCCAUACCGCGUGGGUGAAGAAGACCUUCGGGUUGUAAAGCCCUUUUGUUGGGAAAGAAAAGCAGCAGGUUAAUACCCCGCUGUUCUGACGGUACCCAAAGAAUAAGCACCGGCUAACUUCGUG